GUCGAACGAACCUUCGGGUUAGUGGCGGACGGGUGAGUAACGCGUGGGAAUCUGCCCUCAGGAGGGGGAUAACGGUUGGAAACGACCGCUAAUACCCCAUAUGCCGUAAGGUGAAAUGAAUUUCGCCUGAGGAUGAGCCCGCGUCUGAUUAGCUAGUUGGUAAGGUAAUGGCUUACCAAGGCUUCGAUCAGUAGCUGGUCUGAGAGGAUGAUCAGCCACACUGGGACUGAGACACGGCCCAGACUCCUACGGGAGGCAGCAGUGGGGAAUUUUCCGCAAUGGGCGAAAGCCUGACGGAGCAACGCCGCGUGAGGGACGAAGGCCUCUGGGCUGUAAACCUCUUUUCUCAAGGAAGAAGAUAUGACGGUACUUGAGGAAUAAGCCACGGCUAAUUCCGUGCCAGCAGCCGCGGUAAUACGGGAGUGGCAAGCGUUAUCCGGAAUUAU
RNAcentral lists this ribosomal RNA (446 nucleotides) under uncultured Prochlorococcus sp. RNAcentral's name for it is "bacterial SSU rRNA". It matches the Rfam family "Bacterial small subunit ribosomal RNA", at positions 61 to 554 of the family's 1533-position model. Lineage: Bacteria; Bacillati; Cyanobacteriota; Cyanophyceae; Synechococcales; Prochlorococcaceae. The record is from RNAcentral.